UAGGGAAUCUUCCACAAUGGGCGCAAGCCUGAUGGAGCAACACCGCGUGAGUGAAGAAGGGUUUCGGCUCGUAAAGCUCUGUUGUUAAAGAAGGACACGUAUGAGAGUAACUGUUCAUACGUUGACGGUAUUUAACCAGAAAGUCACGGCUAACUACGUGCCAG
RNAcentral lists this ribosomal RNA (164 nucleotides) under uncultured bacterium. RNAcentral's name for it is "partial 16S ribosomal RNA". It matches the Rfam family "Bacterial small subunit ribosomal RNA", at positions 355 to 511 of the family's 1533-position model. The record is from RNAcentral.